RNAcentral lists this ribosomal RNA (826 nucleotides) under marine metagenome. RNAcentral's name for it is "bacterial SSU rRNA". It matches the Rfam family "Bacterial small subunit ribosomal RNA", at positions 700 to 1520 of the family's 1533-position model. The record is from RNAcentral.
AGAGGAACACCAGUUGCGAAGGCGGAUCUCUGGACGGUUUCUGACGCUGAGGCACGAAAGCUGGGGUAGCGAAGAGGAUUAGAUACCCUCGUAGUCCCAGCCGUAAACGGUGCGCACUUGCUGUGGGCGGAUUCGACCCCGUCCGUGGCGAAGCUAACGCGAUAAGUGUGCCGCCUGGGGAGUACGGUCGCAAGAUUAAAACUCAAAGAAAUUGACGGGGGCCUGCACAAGCGGUGGAGUAUGUGGCUUAAUUCGAUGCAACGCGAAGAACCUUACCUGGCCUUGACAUGUAGUGGACCGGGUGCGAAAUCACCCUUUCCUUCGGGACUGCUACACAGGUGCUGCAUGGCUGUCGUCAGCUCGUGUCGUGAGAUGUUGGGUUAAGUCCCGCAACGAGCGCAACCCCCGUGUUCUGUUGCCACCCGGAUGAGAAUCCGGAGCACUCUGGACAGACUGCCUGGUUUCAACCAGGAGGAAGGUGGGGAUGACGUCAAGUCAGUAUGGCCCUUACGGCCAGGGCUGCACACGUACUACAAUGCCUGAUAUAAUGGGAAGCGAGACCGCGAGGUGGAGCAAAUCCUCAAAAUCAGGCCCAGUUCAGAUUGUAGGCUGCAACUCGCCUACAUGAAGGAGGAAUCGCUAGUAAUGCCGUAUCAGCUACGACGGCGUGAAUACGUUCCCAGGCCUUGUACACACCGCCCGUCACAUCAUGAAAGUCGAUUGUACCCGAAGUCGCUGAGUUAACCGCAAGGAGACAGGUGCCGAAGGUAUGGUUGGUAAUUGGGAUGAAGUCGUAACAAGGUAGCCGUAGGGGAACCUGUGGCUG